UAUCCGUGAAGAAACUUUUGUGCCAGAAGAAGAAGUAUCAUCGCCGGCUUUACCUCUUAUAGUGUGAACGUUGAAAACAUGGAAGAAAGUUAUAAUGAGGCGUGUUCCUGUGUAGACGAGCAUGGCGCAGACAUCUUGCGCCUACGCUUGAGUUUGUGCCUGCGCCCUUGCGCCGCGCUUUUAUGCCUUGUCGUGUAGACGAGCCUUAAAGCAAUAUGCGAUUGGACCACUACUUAUUUAACCUCAUAUAUCAGAGCAAAACAUUCGGCAAGCCCUUAUUUUCAAGAAUUUUGCCAGAACUGCAAGUUGGCCAGACUCUGAUUCGAGGGAUUCGACUGUGCUCUAGUAGAGGACUCUAUGCUCUAGGAGAGAGAGGCGCCAACGGGUCAUGUAACCAUGCAGCCACUCCGUGAUUGGCUGGCAACAAUAACUUAUGUAGAUUAUUGGAGAAAAAUCCUUACGAGUGCAUGCGCCCGAGAUAGCACUGGAAAUAGUUCCCAGGUUAAAGAGUCGUUAGGGCGUAAUGGGA
Temnothorax curvispinosus is the source of this 529-nucleotide long non-coding RNA. RefSeq lists it as uncharacterized. NCBI's taxonomy places the organism in Eukaryota, Metazoa, Arthropoda, Insecta, Hymenoptera, Formicidae. The transcript has 3 exons. The record is from RefSeq and is a predicted model, not a curated record.